GUCUUCGUGGGGUAUUGAGCGCACUCCCAUUCAAAUUGGGUGAAAUAGUGAAUGAUGGGAGAGUUGGUGGUUCGACCCCACCCGAAGACA
Mycena vulgaris is the source of this 90-nucleotide non-coding RNA. NCBI's taxonomy places the organism in Eukaryota, Fungi, Basidiomycota, Agaricomycetes, Agaricales, Mycenaceae. The record is from the annotation of a GenBank genome assembly.